Molecule: ribosomal RNA, 537 nt
Filed under: Escherichia coli
Lineage: Bacteria; Pseudomonadati; Pseudomonadota; Gammaproteobacteria; Enterobacterales; Enterobacteriaceae
Also listed under: 1 other name
Description: bacterial SSU rRNA
Rfam family: Bacterial small subunit ribosomal RNA
Source: RNAcentral
AAAUUGAAGAGUUUGAUCAUGGCUCAGAUUGAACGCUGGCGGCAGGCCUAACACAUGCAAGUCGAACGGUAACAGGAAACAGCUUGCUGUUUCGCUGACGAGUGGCGGACGGGUGAGUAAUGUCUGGGAAACUGCCUGAUGGAGGGGGAUAACUACUGGAAACGGUAGCUAAUACCGCAUAAUGUCGCAAGACUAAAGAGGGGGACCUUCGGGCCUCUUGCCAUCGGAUGUGCCCAGAUGGGAUUAGCUAGUAGGUGGGGUAACGGCUCACCUAGGCGACGAUCCCUAGCUGGUCUGAGAGGAUGACCAGCCACACUGGAACUGAGACACGGUCCAGACUCCUACGGGAGGCAGCAGUGGGGAAUAUUGCACAAUGGGCGCAAGCCUGAUGCAGCCAUGCCGCGUGUAUGAAGAAGGCCUUCGGGUUGUAAAGUACUUUCAGCGGGGAGGAAGGGAGUAAAGUUAAUACCUUUACUCAUUGACGUUACCCGCAGAAGAAGCACCGGCUAACUCCGUGCCAGCAGCCGCGGUAAUACG